This 775-nucleotide ribosomal RNA is filed under the name uncultured Neocallimastigales. RNAcentral's name for it is "partial large subunit ribosomal RNA". It matches the Rfam family "Eukaryotic large subunit ribosomal RNA", at positions 22 to 635 of the family's 3401-position model. Lineage: Eukaryota; Fungi; Neocallimastigomycota; Neocallimastigomycetes; Neocallimastigales. The record is from RNAcentral.
CGCAUCUGUGCAUGCAGCCAUAUCAAUAAGCGGAGGAAAAGAAACUAACAAGGAUUCCCUUAGUAACGGCGAGUGAAGCGGGAAGAGCUCAAAUUUGAAAUCUUCAAGGUUUUACCUUGACGAAUUGUAGUUUAAAGAAGUGUUUUCUGUUGAAGUUUUGGUAAAAGUUCUUUGGAAUAGGACAUCAUAGAGGGUGAGAAUCCCGUAUUUGACCAUUAUUUUCAGCUGUGUGAUACACUUUCAAAGAGUCGGAUUGUUUGGGAAUGCAGUCCAAAAUGGGUGGUAAAUUUCAUCUAAAGCUAAAUAUUGGCGAGAGACCGAUAGCGAACAAGUACCGUGAGGGAAAGAUGAAAAGAACUUUGAAAAGAGAGUUAAACAGUACGUGAAAUUGUCAAAAGGGAAGCGUUUGACACCAGUGUUGUUUUCUCGAAAAUCAAUUAAAAAGAGUUAGAUUUUGUUGUGUAUUGACCUUAACAGCUUGCAUUUCAAUUUUCUUGCUUUUUUUAAUGCACUUUUCGUUUAACAAGUCAACAUCAGUUUCUUUUGUUGUAAAAAGGUCAUUGGAAGGUGGCUUUCUUUUCGGAGAAAGUGUUUAUAGCCUUUGACUCCUGCAAUCGGAGAGACUGAGGUCUGCAGCGUAGAUCCUUCGGGGUUAGAUACAUUUGUGCUAAGUUAUAGCUUUUUAUAGACAACUUGUUGACUAUGAUUAGUCUUGUAGCUUACUCGCUUAUGCUAUUUUACCUACGCUUAGGAUGUUGAUCUGUAGUGCGUGCGC